Molecule: long non-coding RNA, 1807 nt
Filed under: Neodiprion pinetum (white pine sawfly)
Lineage: Eukaryota; Metazoa; Arthropoda; Insecta; Hymenoptera; Diprionidae
Description: uncharacterized LOC124220381, transcript variant X4
Source: RNAcentral
CACUCUGAAAAUGAAAAAUAGACAUACAGUUUCAACCGACGAUGAUAUGAAAUUAAAUAAAAAAUCGACAAGGGUUCGUUAGAACUCUCGGAAAAACAGAUAAAAAAAUUUACGAACAACUUUGGAACAUAAGCUGUAUUACGCCUGUAAACUCAUCUAAUUCCCAAUUCGUCCACGCGUCAAAUCUUCCAAUUCUCAGUGUAUAGUCAAUGCUCGAAUGAUCUAACGCGCAUGCGCUAAAAUUCUGCAGCAAAAGUAGUUGUUGUCAGCAUAACCAACAUUUUUGAGGUUACAUCCAUCGCGGCGACCUGUCAUCUGAACUUACAUCGAUUGGUCGACCUGACAAAACAACUGCUUUGCUCUAGAAUUUUUUGCGCAUGCGCAUUAGACCAUUCGACCGUUAUCUACUCACUCUGUACACCUAUAUCCGUACGUAUUGCAGUUAAGCCCUCGAAUUUCAGGCCGGAUUGUAAUUAAUCCGUGUAUUGUACAAGGAGAUAAAAAAUUUAUUGCGCUCGGAUAUCGAAGUAUCGGCAUUAAACCAGCUAUAUUACUUUGUAAUGCACGACGUGUGCUGUAUCCACAUCCGAGUUUUUUACGAGUACAACAUUUUGUAUUGCCUGUUUAAGGAGAGAGAAAAAAAUCUUCACACCUACAGCAUAUAUUUUCAACCUUAAAACGACAGAGCAGAUGUGUCAGCGCGGCUGAUUGGCUCAAGGCUUCGUGCAUAGAGGAGGUAUGAAUGCACGAUUAUACGUACUACAUACCGUUGCUGGUCGUGUAAUGUACGUUGACUACCUUGAAAGAGAUUACGCAAUUGUUUAAGUUGGCCUACAGGUAAAACGACCGUAAUGUAACGUAACCCGGCUUGUUGCAGACGUGUUCUUAUCGACGAAAUACCUGACUGCCGGUAUGUGUAUACCCGAGAAAUUCUGGAAUUUCGCAAUGAAUUUUCAUGGUGCUGAAAAAGACGUGGAAAUCAAUCCUUCCAGUACAAUAGCGGCGACAGGACGGUAACACAGAGCGUGAACAUUCCAACUACUUUGCACGCAGCGAUUCAUCCUGCAGUUUUGCAAAAGUUUACGAUCGAUUGUAUACUUGAACGAGAAGAGGAAAAUAUAGAUAACAAAAGAGAUAUUUUUUUUUAGACGUAAUUACCACAUCGAUUGUAUACGAUAAUUAUACGUAGCCCCUAUUUAGACCGUGUUACAGGUAUAAUAUUCUUGUGCAAACGAAAACGUUUAAAUAAUACGCAAACAAAAAUAAGGAGAACUUGGUAAUUCUCAUAUUUCCGAAGAAUUAUAAUAUCAUGUAUACAAGGGCAGACGAAUACGACGCGGCGACGAUUGAAGAGAAACAAAAAAUACAAAAUCAAGGCAACGCGGAAUAAUAUGGAAGAGAUGGAGAGAAAACCACAGAGUUUGUUAUAUAAACCGAAACGCUGCUAGUCAACCGUGAUUCGGUAAAUGAAAGAUCAUUUAUGUAGUUAAAGAGAAGUUAUAAAUCGCACUGUUUAAUUUUUAUAACGUUCAAAUUAUUAUACUUUAUAUGCACGGGGAUUUUUGCAGGUACGCGCGUCCUUCGUAUUUAUCAAACGUGUAAACGUGACACAUGUUGUGUUGCUCAUAUUUUUUUUCCACACGUUAAUACGUAACAUGUGUAAACGUACUUAUGACUAAAAUGUCGCUUUUCUAUCUACAGAGCCCGACGCGGUUAAAGAUAAGUUACAUCCGCCUAACUCCAGAUUCAAAAAAAAAAAAAAGGAAAAAAAACGUACGUAGGCGGAUGAGUCUUUCUGGUACUAUAA